RNAcentral lists this ribosomal RNA (424 nucleotides) under Bacillota bacterium. RNAcentral's name for it is "Firmicutes bacterium partial 16S ribosomal RNA". It matches the Rfam family "Bacterial small subunit ribosomal RNA", at positions 355 to 776 of the family's 1533-position model. The record is from RNAcentral. Lineage: Bacteria; Bacillati; Bacillota.
UAAGGAAUAUUGGACAAUGGGCGCAAGCCUGAUCCAGCCAUGCCGCGUGAAGGAUUAAGGUCUUCUGGAUUGUAAACUUCUUUUAUAAGGGACGAAAAAAGGGAAUUCUUUCUCACUUGCCGGUAUCUUUCGAAUAAGCACCGGCUAACUCCGUGCCAGCAGCCGCGGUAAUACGGAGGGUGCAAGCGUUAUCCGGAUUCACUGGGUUUAAAGGGUGCGUAGGCGGGUAUUUAAGUCAGUGGUGAAAUCCUAGAGCUUAACUCUAGAACUGCCAGUGAUACUAUUUAUCUUGAAUAUUGUGGAGGUGAGCGGAAUAUGUCAUGUAGCGGUGAAAUGCUUAGAUAUGACAUAGAACACCUAUUGCGAAGGCAGCUUACUCCGCAUAUAUUGACGCUGAGGCACGAAAGCGUGGGGAUCAAACAGG